RNAcentral lists this ribosomal RNA (401 nucleotides) under uncultured bacterium. RNAcentral describes it as "bacterial SSU rRNA". It matches the Rfam family "Bacterial small subunit ribosomal RNA", at positions 32 to 418 of the family's 1533-position model. The record is from RNAcentral.
AAUCAACGCUGGCGGCGUGCCUCAGACAUGCAAGUCGAACGAUUAAAGCUCUCUUCGGAGAGUGCAUAGAGUGGCGCACGGGUGAGUAACACGUAAGUAAUCUACCUUCGAGUGGGGAAUAACAGUCGGAAACGACUGCUAAUACCGCAUAAUGCAGCGGCAUCGCAAGAUGACAGUUGUUAAAGGAGCAAUUCGCUUGAAGAGGAGCUUGCGGCAGAUUAGCUAGUUGGUAAGGUAAUGGCUUACCAAGGCUACGAUCUGUAACCGGUCUAAGAGGACGGUCGGUCACACUGACACUGAAUAACGAGUCAGACUCCUACGGGAGGCAGCAGUCGGGAAGUUUUGGGUCGAAGUGGGCGAAAGGCCUGACCCAGCAACGCCGCGUGAAGGAUGAAGUAUUU